Molecule: ribosomal RNA, 435 nt
Filed under: uncultured Oscillospiraceae bacterium
Lineage: Bacteria; Bacillati; Bacillota; Clostridia; Eubacteriales; Oscillospiraceae
Description: bacterial SSU rRNA
Rfam family: Bacterial small subunit ribosomal RNA
Source: RNAcentral
ACGGGAGGCAGCAGUCGGGAAUAUUGCGCAAUGGAGGAAACUCUGACGCAGUGACGCCGCGUAUAGGAAGAAGGUUUUCGGAUUGUAAACUAUUGUCGUUAGGGAAGAUAAAAGACUGUACCUAAGGAGGAAGCUCCGGCUAACUACGUGCCAGCAGCCGCGGUAAUACGUAGGGAGCAAGCGUUAUCCGGAUUUAUUGGGUGUAAAGGGUGCGUAGACGGGAAGACAAGUUAGUUGUGAAAUCCCUCGGCUCAACUGAGGAACUGCAACUAAAACUAUCUUUCUUGAGUGUUGGAGAGGAAAGUGGAAUUCCUAGUGUAGCGGUGGAAUGCGUAGAUAUUAGGAGGAAUACCAGUGGCGAAGGCGACUUUCUGGACAAUAACUGACGUUGAGGCACGAAAGUGUGGGGAGCAAACAGGAUUAGAUACCCUGGUA